CAUUGGAAUCUUUCUAUGAGAAGUUCGAUCCAGAUUUCAUCAACAUCAGGACAAAGGCCAGAGAGGUGUUGCAGAGGGAAGACGAUCUUAAUGAAAUUGUACAGCUUGUAGGAAAAGAUGCGCUAGCAGAAGGUGACAAAAUCAUCUUGGAAACAGCUAAGCUACUGAGGGAAGACUACUUGCUCAAAACGCGUUUACACCGAGUGCACUUUUGGAUCCAUAUCUUUAAUCUGCAGCUGCAUUAAAUGGUUUAGCUGGUCCACUCCAUGGUUUGGCUAAUCAGGAAGUUUUUCUGUGGAUCAAAUCAGUUAUCAAGGAAUGUGGAGAAAAUAUAGCAAAGGAACAGCCAUAAGAUUAUGUCUGGACAACGUUAAACAAUGGAAAGGUAAACAAAAUUACAUUCUCUGCUUAGCCCUUUUACAAGCUUACAUGCUCUGCAUUUUGAAGUGUGUUUCUCCUCUUCCUGAGCUGUGGGCUGUGACAGUGGGGAGUUUCUUUUGUUUUUUGGUAUGUUGAAGAUGCGAAGGAGUUCUAAUGGUUCUAUUGAUAUUUGAUAAUGAAGUCCUCUACUGAUUUAUUUUGGGUGUUACUUCAUGCUGUUGGAAUUCAGGUGAGGCUUUAAUUUUAUGGAUUCUUCUUACGAAUGUUCUCACUUCUCAAGUAGUCAGUGAAAAUUGAGAACAUCACCUCCUUACUUCUUGUUGGUUAAAUGUGUUUUUGGAUUGUUGUUACCUCCAAAUCCUAGUUCCUUUCUUCCUUGGACUUAUUGGCUUGCAGGUGAAAGUGUUCUGUCUAACACGAUAAAGUACCUCCAUUCUGGUUACUUUUUGUCAGAUUCUACGAUUGGGGAAGUGAUGUUUCCUCAACUCAUCAUCUCGUCUCUUGAACCUUAAUAUUAAAGCCUAUGUUGGGGUUUCCAUUUGUGAAGUUUUCAUAGGAAGGUCUUUGGAGUUCACUGAAGUUGAAUUUCUUCUUGAAAGGAAUGUUUCCCUGAAUGUCAAGAAAACGCAACGUAUCGAUGCAAGCCUUUUUUCUGAAUUGUGACGUCUGUUGCCAUACCAACUGUUUGGUAAAGUACUUGUGAGAGAUGUUUUCCUGUAUGAGUCGGGAUUUGCAUCCUUGCAGAAAGAGACAAGUGAGUCUUUGUGCCCUGAUUGGUUCAAUUGCACAAACAUUUUGUGUAGGAAGACACAACUCCGAGAUUCUUACAAGCGAUCUACGUUAAUUGAACUAUCUAUUCCGUUUCAGUUAAUAUCUGGGGAUGGCUUUGAUCUGCUAGCCGUUCCUUGUUACCUUCUUCAUCACUUUUGGGGUUCUUAGUUGCCUUGCCUUUCGCUGGUUCAUGUAUAACUUGAUGAAAGUCUUAACUUGCGUCUUUCCCAUUUUCUGCUAUUUCAAAGCGUGAGAAGUAACCUCAAACUCAUGUUGUUGUUGG
Molecule: non-coding RNA, 1435 nt
Organism: Camelina sativa (false flax)
Lineage: Eukaryota; Viridiplantae; Streptophyta; Magnoliopsida; Brassicales; Brassicaceae
Source: RefSeq, a predicted model, not a curated record